This is a non-coding RNA of Camellia sinensis, 1125 nucleotides long. The record is from RefSeq and is a predicted model, not a curated record. Lineage: Eukaryota; Viridiplantae; Streptophyta; Magnoliopsida; Ericales; Theaceae.
CAAUGAGUAUGGUGUUGCCUGGUGUGGUUGGAUUCAAGCUGUCUAGAAAAUUAAACAAUGGUGUCACAGCUACUGAUUUGGUUUUAACUGUGACCCAAAUGCUAAGGAAGCAUGGUGUUGUUGGUAAAUUUGUUGAGUUCUAUGGAGAAGGCGUGGGUAAAAUAUCAUAAGCUGACAGGGCCACUAUUGCCAAUAUGUCUCCUGAGUAUGGUGCAACAAUGGGGUUCUUUCCUGUUGACAUGGUUACUUUGCAAUAUCUGAAAUUGACUGGAAGAAGUGAUGAAACUGUGGCAAUGAUUAAAGCAUAUUUGCGUGCAAAUAACAUGUUUGUUGACUAUAAUGAGGUAAGACUUUCUCCCUUUCUCUUCUCAUAAUUUACUCCUGUAAGUUCCAUUUGGGAUAUAACUAUUUGCCUCUAUUUAGCUUUUACGAAAUUUUUAACUUACAUUGGUUUUAAUAGUAUUUCCUAGAAUUAAACAAAUUUAUAUCGACUGUAGACUCAUGUAUAUAUCAACCGUCACAGGGAAAUCUUAUUUCGACUCCACCAACCAGUGGGACUAUUCUUCCAGGGAUCACACGAAAAACUGUCAUCGAUAUUGCCCGUGAUCAUGGGUUCCAGGUAGUUACUUGCACAUAGGCUUGGUUAUGUUGUGCUAAAAUAUGUUCUUUAGAUUGGAAUUUGGCUCGUAAGAAACUAAAUACUCUCUCUGUGUUUGUAAUUUGUUAUGUCAAUUUCUUGAAUAUGGUAUUAAAGCUCAUUAAGAAUGUACAUGAAUGAGGCGUGUGGUUGUCUAACAUGGUGAGGCAAUUUUUGACCUGGUUCUCAUUAAGAAUGUACAUGCCUUUAGAUUUGUAUUUGCAUUCAUGUUAACAUAGUAAAUGUGUGUUUUAGUUGCCUUUGUUACUGAUGGUGUGACAUGUGUGUAGGUACUUUUCUCUUUGUGCUUUGGCAUUAAUAUUCUUAGUAAUUUUUUGUAGUUUAUUUUUCUUUUUUCAGAGAAACAUUACGUUGAGUAUGACAUGGGAUUGUGUACUUUCUAGUAGUUUGAAAUAUUCAAGGUUAAUUUGACCUAAUGUGACUAUUUAAAAUAACAUUCAGUAGCUUGAACUUCUCAUAUUUAUUUU